Molecule: ribosomal RNA, 799 nt
Filed under: uncultured Glomeromycotina
Lineage: Eukaryota; Fungi; Glomeromycota
Description: SSU rRNA
Rfam family: Eukaryotic small subunit ribosomal RNA
Source: RNAcentral
AUCAACUUUCGAUGGUAGGAUAGAGGCCUACCAUGGUGGUAACGGGUAACGGGGUGUUAGGGCACGACACCGGAGAGGGAGCCUGAGAAACGGCUACCACAUCCAAGGAUGGCAGCAGGCGCGCAAAUUACCCAAUCCCGACACGGGGAGGUAGUGACAAUAAAUAACAAUACGGGGUUCUUUCGGAUUUCGUAAUUGGAAUGAGUACAAUUUAAAUCUCUUAACGAUCAACAAUUGGAGGGCAAGUCUGGUGCCAGCAGCCGCGGUAAUUCCAGCUCCAAUAGCGUAUAUUAAAGUUGUUGCAGUUAAAAAGCUCGUAGUUGAAUUUCGGGAUCAGUAGGUUGGUCAUGCCUCUGGUAUGCACUGGUCUCACUGGUUCCUCCUUCCUGAUGAACCGUAAUGCCAUUAAUUUGGUGUUGCGGGGAAACUGGACUGUUACUUUGAAAAAAUUAGAGUGUUUAAAGCGAGCUAACGCUUGAAUACAUUAGCAUGGAAUAAUGAAAUAGGACGAUCGAUCCUAUUUUGUUGGUUUCUAGGAUUGACGUAAUGAUUAAUAGGGAUAGUUGGGGGCAUUAGUAUUCAAUUGUCAGAGGUGAAAUUCUUGGAUUUAUUGAAGACUAACUACUGCGAAAGCAUUUGCCAAGGAUGUUUUCAUUAAUCAAGAACGAAAGUUAGGGGAUCGAAGACGAUCAGAUACCGUCGUAGUCUUAACCAUAAACUAUGCCGACUAGGGAUCGGAUGAUGUUAAUUUUUUAAUGACUCAUUCGGCGCCUUACGGGAAACCAAAGUGUUUGGGUUC